GCUGGGCAUGGUGGUGGAUGCCUGUAGUCCUAGCUCCUCAGGAGGCUGAGUUGGGAGAAGUGCUUGAGCCCAGGAAGUUGGGGCUGUAGUGAGCUGUGAUUGCACCACUGCACUCCAGCCUGGGCGACACAGCAAGACCCUGUCUCAA
This is an unclassified non-coding RNA of Macaca fascicularis (crab-eating macaque), 148 nucleotides long. It matches the Rfam family "Metazoan signal recognition particle RNA". From Rfam's summary of the family: The signal recognition particle (SRP) is a universally conserved ribonucleoprotein. Lineage: Eukaryota; Metazoa; Chordata; Mammalia; Primates; Cercopithecidae. The record is from Ensembl.